UACGUAGGGACCGAGCGUUGUCCGGAUUCAUUGGGCGUAAAGAGCUCGUAGGCGGCUGCUCAAGUCGAAUGUGAAAACUCGAGGCUCAACCUCGAGCCUGCAUUCGAUACUGGGCGGCUAGAAUCUGGUAGGGGGAUCUGGAAUUCCUGGUGUAGCGGUGGAAUGCGCAGAUAUCAGGAGGAACACCGGUGGCGAAGGCGGGUCUCUGGGCCGAUACUGACGCUGAGGAGCGAAAGCGUGGGGAGCGAACAGG
Molecule: ribosomal RNA, 253 nt
Filed under: uncultured bacterium
Lineage: Bacteria
Description: partial 16S ribosomal RNA
Rfam family: Bacterial small subunit ribosomal RNA
Source: RNAcentral